UAAAAUCCCUAGUCCAAGCAAACAACUUUAAUGAACCUGGAUUUAAACUCAUAGCUCCCAAAGCUCGCACCUUGCGCAUAUCUUCUAUACUAGAGAAAGUAAAUUCAUAGUAACCUUUGCCCAAUGACUGAACGCCCCAGUUCUUCAUGUUUGACCAAAUAAGAGUAAGCUUCUUCCUGAGCUCAACAACAGUAAGGGGCGAAGUUCCUUUUGGCCAUAGAACUCUCCCAUGGAGAUUGUUCUUACAUUCAUCUAUGCCUGCCUUAUAUUCUUCCUCUGGAAUGGUAAUAGAAGGGCGAUCCCCUUUGAUCAGAGGCUGAGGGAGCUGCGAUACAGGGAUAUCACAUACCCCUUUCAAAGCUUGCGCAAAAGACUUCACGGGCUGAGGAACAGGGAUGCUCGAAGAAGAAGGAGAGGAAGAAAACACCUCAUUCGUCUUAGGGAUUGAUUUGGUUUCUGGAAACAAAAACUCGAGAUCCAUGGCAGAAAAAUCGGAUUAAAAGAAAAGGGGGUUAGGGUUUACUGUUUCAUUCAUCUCCAGCAAUCCCAAAUUUCUCUUCUCCUUUCUUCUAUCUUUUUAUCAUAUCAAACAAUCAUGGCUUCACUGCAUUAGGAUUGGUUGUUUUCAUUUAGUUCAUUAAUGUUUUCAUUUAGUCCACCUUUUGAGCAAAAUUUUACAAAAUCUUCAUCAUCGUGUUAUUGCUGCCCUUUAUCUCAAUUUUAUGCAGGAGAGAGUUGGAAAAAAUUGAAAUAGUGGGCGAAUCUGCAUCAUGCUUUGACCUUUCUUGUUGUAGUAUGACUAUGAUGAUAUUUGACAAGAUUGUCAAAAAAUAAAUUUACUCUUCUUUGAGCAGGGGAUGGAAUAACACGGUUUGGAUGAUAAAACCUUCAAUGCCUUUGAUUUUUGUUAUGUAUACCAUGCUAUUGUUAUCACUCUGCUCAGGCAGCUGCAGUAAGGAUGCUAAAGAAAUGCAUAAUAACUUUCAGUUUAAUAUCAUAGUGAUUUUGAUGGCAAUGGUAGAUAUUUUGUGUUUCUUAUGGUUGAUUUUACAGGAACUUAACUCGUGGAGCGAUAAGGUGAGUUCAUUCAUAAGAUUUCUCUCUAUUUUGUUCAUGAACUUGAAAAGGGAAUCGAAGAUGGGGCGGCAUGAUUGAAGAUGGAGGAGAUUUGGAGAUGAAAACGCUUAUCGAUAUGCGAGGGUAUCAUCAAACAUCCUAGGCGAUUCUUCCUCUGUCUCUGAAGCAAUUUUAUGAAUAUGGCGAAGAAGUUGGCUGCGGUGUGUCAAACUCUUGGUUAAAGCAAUCGUUGGAGGCCGAUGAGUUCUUAAGCUCUCCUCGCCUUUGUGAACCCGCUUCCACCGUAUGGGUUAUGAAUAAUCAACACAAAACUGAUUCAAUAGCAGGUUUCGAGUUCUAUAUCAACCACUCUUCAGCAUAUUGUGGUAAUCAAUUAUGAUGAAGAAAGUAAUCAAGUUUUCAACUUCAUGGUAGCAUUUUAAUCCUCUCGUCUGUUCUAUUUCCCAUUAUAUAUAUUCACCCCCGCAACGAAUAACAAUUGCAAAUAUUGUUGGGGAGAUUGGACAUGAAUGCUUCAGAGCCAGAUUUCCCAUCCUCAACUACUGAUUUACAUGAACAGAUGAGAGACCAGAUGAAUGAUCCGGCUAUGAUAUAAAAAUAGCUGGACAAACUUCCCAUCUCAUUGAUUUGUAGUUUGGACUUACGAAUCAUAAGUUUGUGUUAUUAACUUGAUUAUUAUAGUUGUCACCUAUGUAUUAGUGCUUUUAAAAUCCAUUUUCUGUUUUAGAAUGAUGUGGAUGUAUCAUUGAAAUUUUAAAGAUAUUGUUUUACAAUU
This is a long non-coding RNA of Vicia villosa (hairy vetch), 1852 nucleotides long. RefSeq lists it as uncharacterized. The record is from RefSeq and is a predicted model, not a curated record. Lineage: Eukaryota; Viridiplantae; Streptophyta; Magnoliopsida; Fabales; Fabaceae. The transcript is spliced from 4 exons.